This 65-nucleotide transfer RNA is filed under the name Anopheles lutzii. RNAcentral describes it as "tRNA-Tyr". It matches the Rfam family "tRNA". Rfam says of the family: Transfer RNA (tRNA) molecules are approximately 80 nucleotides in length. Their secondary structure includes four short double-helical elements and three loops (D, anti-codon, and T loops). Lineage: Eukaryota; Metazoa; Arthropoda; Insecta; Diptera; Culicidae. The record is from RNAcentral.
GAUUAAAUGGCUGAAGUUUAGGCAAUAAAUUGUAAAUUUAUUUAUGAGAGUUAUCUCUUUAAUCA